UUUUAAAAAUGGACGACAAGACCAGCGUUGCCAAUGGUCCAAAAUUAUAUUCCACGGCGAACAUACCCAAAUUCCACAAAAUUCCACAAUCACUAG
Long non-coding RNA from Sitophilus oryzae (rice weevil), 96 nucleotides. RefSeq lists it as uncharacterized. The record is from RefSeq and is a predicted model, not a curated record. NCBI's taxonomy places the organism in Eukaryota, Metazoa, Arthropoda, Insecta, Coleoptera, Curculionidae. The transcript has 4 exons.